Molecule: long non-coding RNA, 291 nt
Filed under: Elaeis guineensis (African oil palm)
Lineage: Eukaryota; Viridiplantae; Streptophyta; Magnoliopsida; Arecales; Arecaceae
Description: long non-coding RNA (EGUI_LNC005633)
Source: RNAcentral
AUCCCAUAUGUAGGAAAGCAAUUCAACCUUUCCUGUUGAAAAAGAUUAAUUGAUGCCAUGAAGGUGCAUUCUGGACUACUGCCCAAUCAAUUGCUAAUCAUGGCACACCCAAAUCAUAUUUGUGGCCAUCUAACUUUUUGUCUCCGAAAAAGUUCAAGAUCUAAUGUUGGUGACUCAAUAUCAAAGCCACAUAACUCCCUAGAUAAAAUAAAAUCAAAUGUCUCGAUAUCAAGAAUCCAAUUUGAUAGAUAAUUCCACUGCACUCUAGUCUCAAUAGAAAAUAGAUGCACC